GACGAACGCUGGCGGCGUGCUUAACACAUGCAAGUCGAACGGAAAGGCCCUGCUUUUGUGGGGUGCUCGAGUGGCGAACGGGUGAGUAACACGUGAGUAACCUUCCCUUGACUUUUGGAUAACUUCAGGAAACUGGGGCUAAUACCGGAUAGGAGCUCCUGCUGCAUGGUGGGGGUUGGAAAGUUUCGGCGGUUGGGGAUGGACUCGCGGCUUAUCAGCUUGUUGGUGGGGUAGUGGCUUACCAAGGCUUUGACGGGUAGCCGGCCUGAGAGGGUGACCGGCCACAUUGGGACUGAGAUACGGCCCAGACUCCUACGGGAGGCAGCAGUGGGGAAUAUUGCACAAUGGGCGGAAGCCUGAUGCAGCAACGCCGCGUGCGGGAUGACGGCCUUCGGGUUGUAAACCGCUUUCGCCUGUGACGAAGCGUGAGUGACGGUAAUGGGUAAAGAAGCACCGGCUAACUACGU
RNAcentral lists this ribosomal RNA (467 nucleotides) under uncultured bacterium. Its description in RNAcentral is "partial 16S ribosomal RNA". It matches the Rfam family "Bacterial small subunit ribosomal RNA", at positions 28 to 506 of the family's 1533-position model. The record is from RNAcentral.